CAUGCAAGUCGAACGCACAGCGAAAGGUGCUUGCACCUUUCAAGUGAGUGGCGAACGGGUGAGUAACACGUGGACAACCUGCCUCAAGGCUGGGGAUAACAUUUGGAAACAGAUGCUAAUACCGAAUAAAACUUAGUGUCGCAUGACAAAAAGUUAAAAGGCGCUUCGGCGUCACCUAGAGAUGGAUCCGCGGUGCAUUAGUUAGUUGGUGGGGUAAAGGCCUACCAAGACAAUGAUGCAUAGCCGAGUUGAGAGACUGAUCGGCCACAUUGGGACUGAGACACGGCCCAAACUCCUACGGGAGGCUGCAGUAGGGAAUCUUCCACAAUGGGCGAAAGCCUGAUGGAGCAACGCCGCGUGUGUGAUGAAGGCUUUCGGGUCGUAAAGCACUGUUGUAUGGGAAGAACAGCUAGAAUAGGAAAUGAUUUUAGUUUGACGGUACCAUACCAGAAAGGGACGGCUAAAUACGUGCCAGCAGCCGCGGUAAUACGUAUGUCCCGAGCGUUAUCCGGAUUUAUUGGGCGUAAAGCGAGCGCAGACGGUUUAUUAAGUCUGAUGUGAAAGCCCGGAGCUCAACUCCGGAAUGGCAUUGGAAACUGGUUAACUUGAGUGCAGUAGAGGUAAGUGGAACUCCAUGUGUAGCGGUGGAAUGCGUAGAUAUAUGGAAGAACACCAGUGGCGAAGGCGGCUUACUGGACUGCAACUGACGUUGAGGCUCGAAAGUGUGGGUAGCAAACAGGAUUAGAUACCCUGGUAGUCCACACCGUAAACGAUGAACACUAGGUGUUAGGAGGUUUCCGCCUCUUAGUGCCGAAGCUAACGCAUUAAGUGUUCCGCCUGGGGAGUACGACCGCAAGGUUGAAACUCAAAGGAAUUGACGGGGACCCGCACAGCGGUGGAGCAUGUGGUUUAAUUCGAAGCAACGGCGAAGAACCUUACCAGGUCUUGACAUCCUUUGAAAGCUUUUAGAAGAUUAGAAGUGUUCUCUUCGGA
This 993-nucleotide ribosomal RNA is filed under the name Leuconostoc mesenteroides. Its description in RNAcentral is "bacterial SSU rRNA". It matches the Rfam family "Bacterial small subunit ribosomal RNA", at positions 54 to 1025 of the family's 1533-position model. The record is from RNAcentral. Lineage: Bacteria; Bacillati; Bacillota; Bacilli; Lactobacillales; Lactobacillaceae.